This 568-nucleotide ribosomal RNA is filed under the name uncultured Bacilli bacterium. RNAcentral describes it as "bacterial SSU rRNA". It matches the Rfam family "Bacterial small subunit ribosomal RNA", at positions 185 to 738 of the family's 1533-position model. Lineage: Bacteria; Bacillati; Bacillota; Bacilli. The record is from RNAcentral.
AUCGCAUGAUCAGCUUUUGAAAGGCGGCGUAAGCUGUCGCUAAGGGAUGGCCCCGCGGUGCAUUAGCUAGUUGGUAAGGUAACGGCUUACCAAGGCGACGAUGCAUAGCCGAGUUGAGAGACUGAUCGGCCACAUUGGGAACUGAGACACGGGCCCAAACUCCUACGGGAGGCAGCAGUAGGGAAUCUUCCACAAUGGACGCAAGUCUGAUGGAGCAACGCCGCGUGAGUGAAGAAGGUUUUCGGAUCGUAAAGCUCUGUUGUUGGUGAAGAAGGAUAGAGGUAGUAACUGGCCUUUAUUUGACGGUAAUCAACCAGAAAGUCACGGCUAACUACGUGCCAGCAGCCGCGGUAAUACGUAGGUGGCAAGCGUUGUCCGGAUUUAUUGGGCGUAAAGCGAGCGCAGGCGGAAAAAUAAGUCUAAUGUGAAAGCCCUCGGCUUAACCGAGGAACUGCAUCGGAAACUGUUUUUCUUGAGUGCAGAAGAGGAGAGUGGACUCCAUGUGUAGCGGUGGAAUGCGUAGAUAUAUGGAAGAACACCAGUGGCGAAGGCGGCUCUCUGGUCUGCA